GGUACUCUGGCAGAACGGUUAUGCGUGGGCCUGCAAAGCCUAUACAAGGGGGUUCGACUCCCUCGGGUACCU
Nitrosopumilus sp. PRT-SC01 is the source of this 72-nucleotide non-coding RNA. The record is from Rfam. NCBI's taxonomy places the organism in Archaea, Thermoproteati, Nitrososphaerota, Nitrososphaeria, Nitrosopumilales, Nitrosopumilaceae.